CUUCAGCGAGCCGAGCAGCAGCGGACGCUGCGGGGCGCGGUCCCGGCCGUAGGUGGCGAGCAGCGCCUGUGCCUC
Molecule: antisense RNA, 75 nt
Filed under: Streptomyces caelestis
Lineage: Bacteria; Bacillati; Actinomycetota; Actinomycetes; Kitasatosporales; Streptomycetaceae
Also listed under: 1 other name
Description: ASpks TB sRNA
Rfam family: ASpks TB sRNA
Source: Rfam by way of RNAcentral